This is a long non-coding RNA of Maniola jurtina (meadow brown), 394 nucleotides long. RefSeq lists it as uncharacterized. The transcript is spliced from 2 exons. Lineage: Eukaryota; Metazoa; Arthropoda; Insecta; Lepidoptera; Nymphalidae. The record is from RefSeq and is a predicted model, not a curated record.
UGAAUUCUAGUUAACAGUAAGUACAGAGAAGUAAAACAAGCUGGAUUAUAUUUUUGUUUCAGGCAGAAGACGCCUCUUCACUCCUGAAAAUAAGCUCAACAAAUGCCUACAAUAAUAAUUAUUAGGUGAUUUAACGACACGAUAACCAAGAAAAUAGAAAUCUAAUAUCAGACAGGUAGCUGGGAAUGCUUUAUUGUGUAGUGGUGAUAGUUACAACAUAACAUUAUUACAUAGCAAUAAAAUUAUGCAGACAACGUUGCUCUUCGUUUUGUGUCACGGUCAAGAGACCAAAAUGUUUUUAUAUCUCUCAACAUUUAUCUUAUGUAAAGAAGCGAAUAUAGGUGGUAAGUUUGAAUUACGACGGAUUAAAAUAAAUGAUUAUUUUAAAAAGGUA